This 345-nucleotide ribosomal RNA is filed under the name Triticum aestivum (bread wheat). RNAcentral's name for it is "partial small subunit ribosomal RNA". Lineage: Eukaryota; Viridiplantae; Streptophyta; Magnoliopsida; Poales; Poaceae. The record is from RNAcentral.
AUGCACGUACGCACACCACACAUCGAGAGCACGCCUCAACACCACGAACACAACCGUGCAUACAGCAACACACACGUUCCGUUUCAUCGGUGGCAGGAGAUACAACACUACGGCGGCCGGAAAUACAGCAGCAAGACAUACAGCACGCGCGUUGUCCAUAUAAUAGCAGAAAUACAGCAGCAGGAAGAUCCAGCUCCAUGCACGCAGUCCCGCACCACCAUCAAUCGCCGGCCGCGUGCGACUCAAGCACCCAGCCGACGCCCUCCUCGAGGUCGAGCGGCGCCGCCGCCAUCGUCUAGAUCCAGCCGCGCCGCCGCCACGCACGGAAGAGAGAGGAGAGGGUAA